GCUAGCUAUAAUGGAGUCAAUCUUGAGAUACCACCCUUUACACUUUUGAUAUCUAACUAUGUUUCAUUAUCUGGAACUAGGACAUUGUAUGGUGGGUAGUUUGACUGGGGCGGUCGCCUCCUAAAAAGUAACGGAGGUGUGCGAAGGUAAGCUAGAGCUGGUCGGAAAUCAGCUUGAUAGUAUAAUGGCAUAAGCUUGCCUGACUGCGAGGCUGACAAGCCAAGCAGAGACGAAAGUCGGUCAUAGUGAUCCGGUGAUUCUGUAUGGAAGGGUCAUCGCUCAACGGAUAAAAGGUACGCCGGGGAUAACAGGCUGAUGGUGUUCGAGCGUUCAUAGCGACAACACCGUUUGGCACCUCGAUGUCGACUCAUCACAUCCUGGGGCUGAAGAAGGUCCCAAGGGUUCGGCUGUUCGCCGAUUAAAGUGAUACGUGAGUUGGGUUUAGAACGUCGUGAGACAGUUCGGUUUCUAUCUGCCGUGGGUGAAGGAAAUUUGAGAAGGUCUGACUCUAGUACGAGAGGACCGAGAUGGAUAUACCUCUGGUGUACCAGCUGUUAUGCCAAUAGCAUCGCUGGGUGGCUAUGUAUAGAUGGGAUAAUUGCUGAAAGCAUAUAAGCAAGAAACCCUCUUCAAAAAGAUUUCCCAAUUAAGGCCGUGGAAGACUACCACGUUGAUAGGCUAGGUGUGGAAGCAUGGUAACAUGUGAAGCUAACUAGUACUAAUAGCCUGAUUGAUUUAUUUGCUUUC
This 747-nucleotide ribosomal RNA is filed under the name Wolbachia pipientis. RNAcentral's name for it is "partial 23S ribosomal RNA". It matches the Rfam family "Bacterial large subunit ribosomal RNA", at positions 2170 to 2925 of the family's 2925-position model. Lineage: Bacteria; Pseudomonadati; Pseudomonadota; Alphaproteobacteria; Rickettsiales; Anaplasmataceae. The record is from RNAcentral.